GAUGAACGCUGGCGGCGUGCUUAACACAUGCAAGUCGAACGGAAAGGCUCCUGCUUGCAGGGGUACUCGAGUGGCGAACGGGUGAGUAACACGUGGGUGAUCUGCCCUGCACUUCGGGAUAAGCCUGGGAAACUGGGUCUAAUACCCGAUAGGCCCACAUUUUGGAUGGUGUGGUGGAAAGUGUUUCGGUGUGGGGUGAGCUGGCGGCCUAUCAGCUUGUUGGUGGGGUAAUGGCCUACCAAGGCGUCGUCGGGUAGCCGGCCUGGGAGGGUGUACGGCCACAAUGGGACUGAGAGACGGCCCAGACUGCUGCGGUAGGCAGCAGUGGCGAAUAUUGCACAAUGGGCGCAAGCCUGAUGCAGCGACGCCGCAUGGGUGAUGACGGCCUUCGGGUUGUAAAAACCUUUCGCUAGAGACGAAGCGCAAGUGACGGUACCGGGAGAAGAAGCACCGGCUAACUACGUG
This 465-nucleotide ribosomal RNA is filed under the name uncultured bacterium. RNAcentral describes it as "partial 16S ribosomal RNA". It matches the Rfam family "Bacterial small subunit ribosomal RNA", at positions 28 to 507 of the family's 1533-position model. The record is from RNAcentral.